CCCACCCCUUUCCACCCAACUCCCAUUCCAAUCACCCAUCACUUCCCCUGUUCUCUCUCUUUUUCCAUCUCUCUCCUUCCUAUCUGAACCUCACGACCCACCCCUUUCCACCCCACUUCCAUUCCAACCGCCCAUCACUUCCCCUUUUCUCUCUCUUUUUCCAUCUCUCUCCUCCCUACCUGAACCAAAUUCGCGGUCCUCCCUAUAUUAGGGAUGGCCAUGUCUUCUACCCAACAAAGCUCACCAUGAAACCCAUCUCCAAUUCCACCUCCCUCACCUCAUUCUCCAGCUCCUGUGUCUUCUCUGUCUCCCCCAUCUCCCCCCCUUCCCCGAGAUCGCUUCAAGCCCAUGUUUCAGCCUCUCAUUCGUCCUCUUCAACUCCACCUCCCCCGCAAUGCCCUUGCCAACCAAUACUUCAGCCUCUUCACCAACGCCAUCAUCCCCUUCAUCGCUCGGUUGCUUGUCGUCGAGUUCUAUACCGGGAAAAACUCAUAAUUCAACGACCCAGAUGGAAACCACAUCGGCAUCUACCUCAACAACAAUUUGCCCGUGUUUCAGCUGAGUUCUUCUUCGUCUUAUUUGUCUUAUUGAGCAAUCUGUAGCAUCACAAUCGGUUGUGUGGUUGUGGUGUUGGUUUUAGCAUUUGGGAUUUACUUGUAUUGGAUUGCAGGCUGUGGAUUUGGUUCAGGAAAGAAGGAAGGAGAGAGAGAGAGAGAGAGAGAACAUACAUACCAAGUCACUGAAACUAAUCACCUUGGUUAGGAAGUGUGGAAACGUACAUGCCAGGUCAUGUAAGCACCUGUACUUGAAAAUAAAUUGUGUCAUUAAUCAGCAGGGAAAUACGGAAAUGUUUUAUUUUGGUGAUAA
RNAcentral lists this long non-coding RNA (867 nucleotides) under Prunus dulcis (almond). RNAcentral's name for it is "sRNA ncRNA". Lineage: Eukaryota; Viridiplantae; Streptophyta; Magnoliopsida; Rosales; Rosaceae. The record is from RNAcentral.